This 284-nucleotide unclassified non-coding RNA is filed under the name plant metagenome. RNAcentral describes it as "partial contains small subunit ribosomal RNA, internal transcribed spacer 1, and 5.8S ribosomal RNA". The stretch from base 1 to 53 matches the Rfam family "Eukaryotic small subunit ribosomal RNA", at positions 1778 to 1831 of the family's 1831-position model. The record is from RNAcentral.
GGAAGUAAAAUCGUAACAAGGUUUCCGUAGGUGAACCUGCGGAAGGAUCAUUAUUGUAUAACCGAGGUGCGAGGGCUGUCGCUGACCCGAAAGGUCGUGCACGCCCGAGUGCCCUCACACACAUCCAUCUCACCCCUAUGUGCACCACCGCGUGGGUCCCCCUUUGGCUUGUUCGGAGGGGGGCUUACGUUUUCACACAAACUUUGUAUGCAGUGUAGAAUGUAUUUUUUGUUUUCGCGAUCACGCAAUCAAUACAACUUUCAACAACGGAUCUCUUGGCUCUC